This is a non-coding RNA of Nicotiana tabacum (common tobacco), 1894 nucleotides long. NCBI's taxonomy places the organism in Eukaryota, Viridiplantae, Streptophyta, Magnoliopsida, Solanales, Solanaceae. The record is from RefSeq and is a predicted model, not a curated record.
AUUUUUUUUCCUUCCGAGGGAUAUAACACUAUUAUCACCUUCUCCUCAUUUCUCCCCCAUUUCUUUCAAAUCCCAUUUCUCAGUCACUCUAUCCUUAACUCUCUUUUCUCUCCCAACUUCAAUCUCCCUUUCUCGGCCAUGGCUUCAAUUUCAGCAGCCACCACCACCUCCUCUACUAAGCUUGUAUCCUCCAACACCCCCAAUCCUCUUCUUCCUUCCUCCACUAAACCCUCCAAGCUUAUCCUAUCCUCUUCCUUUACCCCCAAUUUUUCCACCCUUUUCCUCCACUCACCCGCCACCCCUUCUUCUACUUCCACCCACCGCCACCGCCGUUUUACUGUCCGCGCUGCCCGUGGAAAAUUCGAGCGGAAAAAACCCCAUGUCAACAUCGGUACUAUUGGCCAUGUUGACCAUGGAAAGACUACUCUAACCGCUGCUUUAACCAUGGCUCUUGCUUCUAUGGGAAACUCAGCCCCCAAGAAGUACGACUAAAUUGAUGCCGCCCCAGAAGAGCGUGCUCGUGGUAUUACUAUUAACACUGCUACUGUUGAGUACGAGACUGAGAACCGUCACUACGCCCACGUGGACUGCCCUGGUCACGCUGAUUAUGUCAAGAAUAUGAUUACUGGUGCUGCCCAAAUGGACGGUGCUAUUCUUGUUUGUUCAGGUGCUGAUGGUCCCAUGCCACAGACUAAGGAACACAUUUUGCUCGCUAAGCAGGUGGGUGUCCCUAACAUGGUUGUGUUCUUGAAUAAACAAGAUCAGGUCGAUGAUGAAGAGCUGCUUCAGCUUGUUGAGUUGGAGGUAAGAGAGUUAUUGUCAAGUUAUGAGUUCCCUGGUGAUGAUAUUCCUAUUAUUUCUGGCUCUGCUCUUUUGGCUUUAGAGGCUUUGAUGGCUAAUCCUAGUAUUAAGAGAGGUGAAAAUCAAUGGGUUGAUAAGAUUUAUGAGUUGAUGGACUCUGUUGAUAGUUAUAUUCCUAUUCCAGUAAGGCAAACUGAAUUGCCUUUCUUGAUGGCCAUUGAAGAUGUGUUUUCCAUUACGGGUAGAGGUACUGUGGCGACAGGGAGGGUAGAGAGAGGGACUGUUAGGAUUGGAGACACUGUUGAUAUUGUAGGUUUGAAGGAUACUAGGAGUACUACGGUGACCGGGGUUGAGAUGUUUCAGAAGAUUUUGGAUGAAGCAAUGGCUGGAGAUAAUGUGGGGUUGUUGUUGAGAGGUAUUCAAAAGAUUGAUAUUCAGAGAGGAAUGGUGUUGGCAAAACCUGGAACGAUUACCCCUCACACCAAGUUCGAAGCUAUUGUGUAUGUGUUGAAGAAGGAGGAGGGUGGUAGGCAUUCCCCCUUCUUUUCGGGGUACAGGCCUCAGUUUUACAUGAGAACUACUGAUGUGACUGGAAAGGUUACUUCCAUUACGACUGACAAAGGAGAGGAAUCUAAGAUGGUCAUGCCCGGUGAUCGUGUGAACUUGGUGGUUGAGCUCAUUAUGCCGGUCGCUUGUGAACAAGGGAUGAGAUUUGCCAUCAGGGAAGGAGGAAAGACUGUUGGAGCUGGUGUCAUUCAGAAAAUUAUCGAGUGAUCAACCAGCAGCGGAGCAAUUUCCCUUCCAAUGGUCUGGCCCCUGUCACACAGUAUUCUUAAUCCAUUGUCAUAUAUGCAGCUUUUUGGUUACUUUUUUCUUAUCUUUUAGAAUCCUAGUUCAGUUGGAGAAAUCUUGUUAUAAGUCAAUCCUAGUGGACAUUUGCGAGUUUGCUUCAGUUUCGUGCUUUGUUUUUUCAUUUGUUUGCAAGGAAGGAGAACAUUUUGUCUCUUGUGCACCUUACUUUCUGCCAGAACAAAUUCAUACUUUUGUUUGAAACUCGAGUUUAACAUGUCAAUGAAGUUUGGUGAAUUUGAUA